UAUGUAAUACAUGUGGAAGGAUGUUCAUCACAGUGUUGUUCAUAAAACAGAAACAAUAGUAACUAUGAAUCCAGAGAAAAUUAGCUAAAUAAAUGAAACAUUCCACAGAAGAAUUCUCAGGUGGGAGACAUUACCAAUUUCUGGUUCUCUUCGCCUUCCCUGAGGCACACAGAAGAUUAUAUAUCCCAGGCUUCCUGAAGUUAGAUGGCACCAUGUGACUACUUCUGGUCAGAGGACCAGGAACAAAGUGUUUCAGGUUGACUUUUAGACCAAGGCCGUGGAACGCCUUUGUGUAAUGUUCCAGCACUUUUCCCCUGCUGCAGUGACCAGAAGUCCCUCACCAAGAUGAGAACCAUAAGAUGGAAGAGGCAUGGAUCUGAGAGUCACCAUUUAGGAACACCGGACCCACAGCCAACUGUAGAUAAUCUCCUAUGAAAGAACAAAAAAUGUAUCACCCCCACACCUCAAAAGAGUGACGGGCCCUAAUCCUUAGGUCUACAUUCCAGGUUGCAGAGUCAAAAGAGCUUGCACUGUUGCUUCCUCCACCCACCUCUUCAACAGCCAGGAGCAGAAGAAUUCCCUAAUGAUAACUCCUAAAGAGACACUUAAAGUUCAAAGCUCUAGCACAUGAUGAAAGUAAGUUGAAUGACCUAAAGAGGAGAAAUAUGGAGAUGGUGCACCCUGACGAUUAGGAAGGGAAGCUCCAAGGCUUCUGAAAGAGUGAAUCUCCCGAACUUAAAUAAGAUAAUGAUGCUAAAUGCCCUACACAAAAUGGAAUCUCUCUGAGACAAGCCGGUCCUCAAAAAGCCUGGCAACAUGGGCACUUAUAAGGACUUGGUGUUAAGCACAGAGCCUCGGUAACCUCAGCAAAGACACUUCGUGGCAGAGAUGGAAAAGUGGAGCCAUCUUGUCUUGAUGGAUCAUGAAACCAUGGUGGGGAGCCAGGGCCACAGGAAUUAUUGUGCACUAAUGACCCAUGCCUUGCCAGACAUAAAAGACUCAG
This 1003-nucleotide long non-coding RNA is filed under the name Homo sapiens (human). Its description in RNAcentral is "HSALNT0142586". The record is from RNAcentral. Lineage: Eukaryota; Metazoa; Chordata; Mammalia; Primates; Hominidae.